Molecule: non-coding RNA, 1510 nt
Organism: Nylanderia fulva
Lineage: Eukaryota; Metazoa; Arthropoda; Insecta; Hymenoptera; Formicidae
Source: RefSeq, a predicted model, not a curated record
UCUUGUGAAAUACACGAUGUGCAGUAUUCCUGUAUGAUGUAGUUAUCCAAUCCUUCUUGUUGUGUCAAAUAUAAAUUUUAAUUUUUAGUUAUUAAAUUCUACGUGAAAAGAUCAUAUUAAUACAUAUAUUAUAUAUUGAAAGCUAGCUUUUGAAUUAAAACCAUGUGAAUUGAAUCUUCGGAUAUAUAAUAGUAACGUCAAUAAAUUUUGGUUUAGGUUUUCAAAUACACAUUUGCAUUGAAACUUGAAGCAGUUUUAUUUUAAGGACGCUACUGGUUUUCACACCCACAUUUGCGUUGAGACUACUGCGAGAGAGAAGUAGGUUUAUUUUUAAGAAGGCUUCUGUUUUAAUUGCUACUUUAAAAGAUCAUAUUCACAUUAUAAUUACAUGUUGCGAUCUGAUAUUUGGAUUAAAGGUUUUCACAUACACUUUGCAUUGAAACUUAAAGUAGUUUUAUUUUAAGAAAGUUACUGGUAAGUCUACAUUUAUCAAGGAUCUUAUUUCAAAUAAUUCUGCUAUUAGAAUGAGUAUUAUGUAUUUAGAUUUAAAAAAUUAUUUGCAUUAUUGAACGUACGGCAUGUUCCGGGACCGAUUAAAUUUUUUAAAUAUAAUGUUUCUUUGGAUUAUUUCAAUUAAAAUUUUAACUUUCAAGUAUUAAAUUCUACUUCAAAAGACCAUAUUUACAUGUAAUUAUGUGUUGACAGUUGAUUUUUGUAUUAAUACCAUGCAAAUUAAAUUUUCGGAUGGAAUAAUAUCGACAGUAAAUUUUGGUUUAGAUUUUCACAUACACAUUUACAUUGAAACUUGAAGUAGUUUUAUUUUAAGAAGAUUUCUGAUAAGUCUACAGUUAUCGAGAAGUUUUUUAUAAUUCUGCUAUUAGAGCAACAUAAUAAGUUCUAAAUUAUUCAGACAUUUGCAUUUUUGAACAUACACAGCAUGUUCCGGGAUUAGUAAAGCUUUUUUUAAAUAUUGUCUCUUUUUAUUCUUUUAUAAGUCUUAAUUCGAAAUUAUAAUAAUACUACUUCGAAAGAUCAUAUUUACAUUUUGAUUAACUACUGAAAGCUGAUUUUUUUAAUUUAAUACGGUAUAAAUUGAAUGUUUAUAUAUAAGAAUAAUAUCACUAGUUUUGAUAAUUUGUAAAUUUGCACACAUUAUUUGCAUUUACACUUGAAGUAAUAUUAUUUUGAGAAGGCUUCUGGUGAGUUCUUCUAAAUUUGUCGACGUUCUUUUAUAUAAUCUUACUAUUAGAAUGACUUGUGUUUUAAGUUCUGGAAAAUUAUUUGCAUUAUUGAAAAUACGGCAUUUUCCAGGACCGUUAAAAUUGUUUGAAAAUAUUGUAUCUUAAAUUUGUAUUAUUUCUAUAAAUCUUAAUUCAAAUUCUGAAGUAAUAAAUUAUUCCGCGAAAAAUAUUUUCAUUAUAAUUAGUUAAGUACUGAUUUAUUUUUGUUAAUUUUUAUUUAAACUUGAGCUUGGUGAAUAUAACCAUAAUGUAAAUAAUUUUGAUUUGCG